UGAUGAAUAAAGUCUUCGAGGAAAUUAAG
RNAcentral lists this non-coding RNA (29 nucleotides) under Mus musculus (house mouse). The record is from RNAcentral. Lineage: Eukaryota; Metazoa; Chordata; Mammalia; Rodentia; Muridae.